Molecule: ribosomal RNA, 525 nt
Filed under: uncultured Glomus
Lineage: Eukaryota; Fungi; Glomeromycota; Glomeromycetes; Glomerales; Glomeraceae
Description: SSU rRNA
Rfam family: Eukaryotic small subunit ribosomal RNA
Source: RNAcentral
UGCCAGCAGCCGCGGUAAUUCCAGCUCCAAUAACGUAUAUUAAAGUUGUUGACNGUUAAAAGCUCGUAGUUGAAUUUCGGGACUAAUAUGUCGGUCGUACUUUGUACGUACUAGCAUUAUUGGUUUCUCCCUUCUGACGAACCACGAUGUCAUUAAUUUGGUGUCGCGGGAAAUCAGGACUGUUACUUUGAAAAAAUUAGAGUGUUAAAGCAAGCUCGCGCUUGAAUACAUUAGCAUGGAAUAAUGAAAUAGGACGUUUGAUUACUAUUUUGUUGGGUUUCUAGGAUCGACGUAAUGAUUAAUAGGGAUAGUUGGGGGCAUUAGUAUUCAAUUGUCAGAGGUGAAAUUCUUGGACUUAUUGAAGACUAACUUCUGCGAAAGCAUUUGCCAAGGAUGUUUUCAUUAAUCAAGAACGAAAGUUAGGGGAUCGAAGACGAUCAGAUACCGUCGUAGUCUUAACCAUAAACUAUGCCGACUAGGGAUCGGACGAUGUUAAUUUUUUAAUGACUCGUUCGGCGCCUUACG